This 406-nucleotide ribosomal RNA is filed under the name uncultured bacterium. Its description in RNAcentral is "partial 16S ribosomal RNA". It matches the Rfam family "Bacterial small subunit ribosomal RNA", at positions 30 to 526 of the family's 1533-position model. The record is from RNAcentral.
AUUGAACGCUGGCGGCAGGCCUAACACAUGCAAGUCGAACGAGUGGCGGACGGGUGAGUAAUGUCUGGGAAACUGCCCGAUGGAGGGGGAUAACUACUGGAAACGGUAGCUAAUACCGCAUACCAUCAGAUGAACCCAGAUGGGAUUAGCUAGUUGGUGGGGUAACGGCUCACCAAGGCGACGAUCCCUAGCUGGUCUGAGAGGAUGACCAGCCACACUGGAACGGAGCCACGGCCCAGACUCCUACGGUAGGCAGCAGUGGGGAAUAUUGCACAAUGGGCGCAAGCCUGAUGCAGCCAUGCCGCGUGUAGGAAGAAGGCCUUCGGGUUGUAAAGUACUUUCAGCGGGGAGGCGUUACCCGCAGAAGAAGCACCGGCUAACUCCGUGCCAGCAGCCGCGGUAAUUC